Molecule: long non-coding RNA, 1897 nt
Organism: Sebastes umbrosus (honeycomb rockfish)
Lineage: Eukaryota; Metazoa; Chordata; Actinopteri; Perciformes; Sebastidae
Exons: 4
Source: RefSeq, a predicted model, not a curated record
AGAGGAAGUGGAGAAAAAAUUUGCAACGGAGAGACGAAACACCUGAAUUGAAAGGCCAUAUCCAGAUAUUAAGUGGACAUUGAGUGCUCAACAUGCUGAAUAGUCCAGGGUCAGGAGGGGAAGACUGUGGCCCAGGUGAGGAAUGUGACAUGAAGAUCAGAAGAGCGAGGGGCUGCUGCCCGAGGACGGUUGAGGGCUUACGGUAAAGGGUGUUUGGUGAGGACGUGAAGCUCCUCCCAACAGCGUCAGGCCUAAAGUGCUGAUCUGCGGUCCCAAGCCCAGGCCCAGACGCCAGGGGGUGCUCUCCUGUAGACAACAAUCCAGAUACAACUCCAGCCUGGACAGAGAGACGGACAGGGACAGACUGUGCCACAAUCCGUCCCACAAAGGAGCAGCAGGAAACCUGCACCGACCACAGUGAAGAGUCUCGGCCCCACCUUCAGCUGGAAAAGCUCCUCCCCUUCCUGCCCUAAAAUAACCAAUAGCGGCGUUUCCUCUGACCCCCGUUGACCCAGACGCAGAUGCAUCAGCACACUCAGCUCAUCUGGAAAACUGUCAUGUAAACGUUAUAGCACAUUCACAAAUAAAUGUACACAUACAGGAGACUGUCCCGCACACACUCAGUCAAAUACACACACUCAUAGGCAUGCUCGUUUUUGCUUGGUCAUUCACUGGACCGUUGUGAGAUGAGAAUACAGGACAGUAUAGAUUUUAAACCCAGGGUUGUGAUGUCACAGAUAGACUUUGCUCAUAGGAAGACGCUUCACAAGCGAAUGUAAACUGUAUCACAAAGCUGACAGAUUCAGAUGACAUUAGUACCCUAAUGUGUGUAAACAGUCAAGGUCAAGUUUAACACCAAAGCCUUCAGCUAAAUCCUUUCAACCUACACAUCAUGGAAAGAAAGACCACCCUAGAUAAACAAGCUCACUGCAGUCACGUGUGACCUUGUCAGCACUCUGAAAAUGAAAAAUGAUCUUUUGUAGUAAAAGAUAAAGAAUUACAGUACAAACUUAGUAGAGUUAGUGUGUAAACGGGAAAUAUUUUUUUUAAAUUGUGUUUGAUUUUCAACAUAUUACAUGAAUUAGAAUCAUGAAUAUAUCGAGGGACAAUGUACAAUGAAUAACAAUAUUAACAUAUAGUAUUUGUUAGAAAUACAUGUUGAUAGAAACUUCUUAUACAAUCUUGUUUUUUCAUUGUAUUGAACAAGAAAGUGACUACUUGUCAUGUGAACAUAAAAACAUUGAGUACAUAUUUUUACAACUAUUUUUUUAGUUCAUUCAACUAUCAAAAUAUAUGCUAAGUGCACAAUGUAUGUGUUGUCAUUCGGCCUUGAACUAAUUAGGCUGUAUCUGCUUUAUAAAUUUGAGUGCAGUUAACUCAAAAAUAAAAAAAUGAUUGACUUAACAUAAAAAAAUUAUGUCAAGCUCACAAGGGAUGAGUGUUUGUGUCAAGUGAACAUAACGUUUUUAUGUCAUUUUGACAGUCCAGAACAUUUGUGUAGAUUUUACAAUAACAUGUUAUGUCAUGGAUGGACUGGGGUUUACAGGAUGGUGAGGUAAGACUAGUAUGUAAGUAAGGCAUUAUUAGUAUAGUAGCAGACGAGUAUAGUUUGCUGGGCCAGAGAUGACUUCCUGUUGCGACCUUUAGUUGUCUUGUGGCUGUGACUCAAUGAAACCAAACCCUGUUUACUAACUGAGAAGUCAUUUUUACAUUAGCUCCUGCGUUGAGCCUAAUCAGUGAUACUUACAGAGGGCCAAAUACUGUAGCUGUUGGUAGGGACAGAGUGGCAUAUUGUCCGAUCUGAUAUGUUGAACAUCCUCGGUCAUCUUCUGUUGUUGACACAUUGUAGUGAGCAGCUGACUGCAUGUCCAGCAGCUGUAAUAGAUCCACUUCUGUA